AAUCAACGCUGGCGGCGUGCCUAACACAUGCAAGUCGAACGCGAAAGUCCCGCAAGGGAUUAGUAGAGUGGCAAACGGGUGAGUAACACGUGGGUGACCUGCCUUCGAGUGGGGGAUAACGUCCCGAAAGGGACGCUAAUACCGCAUAACAUCCUGCCUUUUAAGAGGUGGAGAUCAAAGCUGGGGACCGUAAGGCCUGGCGCUGGAAGAGGGGCCCGCGUCUGAUUAGCUAGUUGGUGAGGAACGGCUCACCAAGGCAACGAUCAGUAUCCGGCCUGAGAGGGCGGACGGACACACUGGGACUGAGACACGGCCCAGACUCCUACGGGAGGCAGCAGUGGGGAAUUGUUCGCAAUGGGCGCAAGCCUGACGACGCAACGCCGCGUGGAGGAUGAAGACCU
RNAcentral lists this ribosomal RNA (401 nucleotides) under uncultured bacterium. RNAcentral describes it as "bacterial SSU rRNA". It matches the Rfam family "Bacterial small subunit ribosomal RNA", at positions 29 to 417 of the family's 1533-position model. The record is from RNAcentral.